This 253-nucleotide ribosomal RNA is filed under the name uncultured bacterium. RNAcentral describes it as "partial 16S ribosomal RNA". It matches the Rfam family "Bacterial small subunit ribosomal RNA", at positions 524 to 776 of the family's 1533-position model. The record is from RNAcentral.
UACAGAGGUCCCGAGCGUUGUUCGGAUUCAUUGGGCGUAAAGGGUGCGUAGGCGGCGGGGCAAGUCUGAUGUGAAAUCCCGGGGCUCAACCCCGGAACUGCAUUGGAUACUGCCUUGCUUGAGUACUGGAGAGGAGACUGGAAUUUACGGUGUAGCAGUGAAAUGCGUAGAUAUCGUAAGGAAGGCCAGUGGCGAAGGCGGGUCUCUGGGCCGUAACUGACGCUGAGGAGCGAAAGCAUGGGGAGCGAACAGG